This 243-nucleotide ribosomal RNA is filed under the name uncultured bacterium. RNAcentral's name for it is "partial 16S ribosomal RNA". It matches the Rfam family "Bacterial small subunit ribosomal RNA", at positions 1260 to 1500 of the family's 1533-position model. The record is from RNAcentral.
AGGCGGAGCUAAUCCCUUAAAGCCAUUCUCAGUUCGGAUUGUAGGCUGAAACUCGCCUACAUGAAGCUGGAGUUACUAGUAAUCGCAGAUCAGAAUGCUGCGGUGAAUGCGUUCCCGGGUCUUGUACACACCGCCCGUCACACCACGGAAGUUGGGGGCGCCCGAAGCCACUUAGCUAACCCUUUUGGGAAGCGAGUGUCGAAGGUGAAAUCAAUAACUGGGGUGAAGUCGUAACAAGGUAAC